This 73-nucleotide transfer RNA is filed under the name Loxodonta africana (African savanna elephant). It matches the Rfam family "tRNA". From Rfam's summary of the family: Transfer RNA (tRNA) molecules are approximately 80 nucleotides in length. Their secondary structure includes four short double-helical elements and three loops (D, anti-codon, and T loops). The record is from Rfam by way of RNAcentral. Lineage: Eukaryota; Metazoa; Chordata; Mammalia; Proboscidea; Elephantidae.
GCAUUGGUGGUCCAAUGGUAGAAUUCUCGCCUUCCGCGCAGGAGACCUGAGGGUUCGAUUCCCGACCCAUGCA